AGCACCAGUGAUAAUAGUGUGUUAUGAACCAAGGAUUGUGAUUAAUCCAGUUCAGUGCGCCUGAGAUU
This 68-nucleotide small nucleolar RNA is filed under the name Tursiops truncatus (common bottlenose dolphin). Its description in RNAcentral is "Small nucleolar RNA SNORD112 (ENSTTRG00000024962.1)". The record is from RNAcentral. Lineage: Eukaryota; Metazoa; Chordata; Mammalia; Artiodactyla; Delphinidae.